Long non-coding RNA from Vigna radiata var. radiata (mung bean), 809 nucleotides. RefSeq lists it as uncharacterized. The record is from RefSeq and is a predicted model, not a curated record. The transcript has 2 exons. Lineage: Eukaryota; Viridiplantae; Streptophyta; Magnoliopsida; Fabales; Fabaceae.
GAUUGGUUUGUUUAAUAUAUUUUUUUGAAAAAUGUGAAAUUUUUUGUUGAAGGCCGUUUUGGAAGAAAAAAAGCUUGAGCUUCCUUUGUAUCUGUUUUCGAUGGCGGCAUUCUUCCUCCCCCAACGCUGCAUUUUGCCUCUCUUCCUCUGUCCUGUUGUCCAUUAACGACUAAAGAAAACAGGGAUCACAGUCCGUUCAUACUUUUCUCUGCACUCAAGGAGUUUCUCUAGUUCCUCUAAACACCAAUGAGAAGAAGCAUAAUAUGAUCAACAAGAUUUCUGAUCGUUCAAUUGCUAGAACAAGUGAUGGCCAUAUUUCAUGUUCCCUUUUAAGUUCAGCAUCUAUAAAGGCACAUAUUUUCUUUCUUUGAAAAGCAGCAAUCAAAUGGCUAAGAAGCGUGUGGCGGAUGUCCUCAUCCCUGAAGCUAACAAAAACAUCAUACUUUAUUUGAGGAGUUCUGUUCUCUGAGGACUUUUCCUCCAACCAUUACUUCAGUUUCUUAGCGCAUGGUUCUCUAACACUGAUAUAAUGUGUAUGAUAGGAGGGAAUAUAUUGAGAAGUAGUUGUGAAUUAGGUUGUUAAGAUGAUUGAGAUUUCCUUUAUAUAGUUGGAUAAUUUUGUAGAUUGAACUUUAACUCUUUGCGAAGAGAAAACCCUUAGAGGAGAGAGUGUUCUCCUGUUUUGUGUUCUUUCAAGUUUAUAUAACAGAAUAUUAAUCUUUGUGAAGAGGAAACCCUUAGAGGAGAGAGUGUUUUCCUAUUUUGUGUUCUUUAAAGUUUAUACAAUAAAGAAUAUUAAUCUUCUUUCU